GAUGAACGCUGGCGGCGUGCCUAAUACAUGCAAGUCGAGCGAACAGACGAGGAGCUUGCUCCUCUGACGUUAGCGGCGGACGUGUGAGUAACACGUGGAUAACCUACCUAUAAGACUGGGAUAACUUCGGGAAACCGGAGCUAAUACCGGAUAAUAUAUUGAACCGCAUGGUUCAAUAGUGAAAGACGGUUUUGCUGUCACUUAUAGAUGGAUCCGCGCCGCAUUAGCUAGUUGGUAAGGUAAAGGCUUACCAAGGCAACGAUGCGUAGCCGACCUGAGAGGGUGAUCGGCCACACUGGAACUGAGACACGGUCCAGACUCCUACGGGAGGCAGCAGUAGGGAAUCUUCCGCAAUGGGCGAAAGCUUGACGGAGCAACGCCGAGUGAGUGAUGAAGGUCUUCGGAUCGUAAAACUCUGUUAUUAGGGAAGAACAAAUGUGUAAGUAACUAUGCACGUCUUGACGGUACCUAAUCAGAAAGCAACGGCUAACUACGUG
RNAcentral lists this ribosomal RNA (497 nucleotides) under uncultured bacterium. RNAcentral describes it as "partial 16S ribosomal RNA". It matches the Rfam family "Bacterial small subunit ribosomal RNA", at positions 28 to 507 of the family's 1533-position model. The record is from RNAcentral.